CGAGGCUAAGGUCCCAGAAGCCUGGGGGAGACCCAGGAGCCAUUUCCCAGGACGUAGCGGGGGCUUCCGGGCAGCCUGAGGAGGAGGGAAACGGAGCUUGUGUGGGUUCAGCAGGAACAGGCAGCCCGUGUCCCCCCUUGGGUCCAGCCUUCUGAGAGUCCCGCCUGCCAAGGCCCUCACCUCCCAGGGAAAGCACUUCACUUCAGUGCAGCUCCUUGCUGCGACAGCCAAGAGCCCCCAGAACAGCUCCGAGGAGGUCGCAGGACAUAAGAAGCCCCAAGGUUGUUUCUGGGGGCCAUGGGGGAGGAGAGCCCUGGGGCACCCCACAAAGAGGAGGAGGCAGAAGUGGGCAGGGAAGGGGAGGCUGUGGAGUCGCGGAUCCCACCCGCAAGCAAGGGCUCUGCGCGCUGUUUUCUGUGUCUCUCCAUCUGCCUCUGUCUACCCCAACAGGGAGGAUGUGUUUAUUUAAAGAUGCCGCUACUCACAGCAGAAGUGUCUGUUUCAAAGCAGAAAUAUGAUCCUGUUUGGGUUGGAGGAGGGAGUCAUUCCAUGAGGAAAAUAUUUCUUCUUUACAAAAAGAGGGCCCUGGAGCGUGGAGAGGGCAGGAGGGCGGACACCACGGGGCAGCUGAGAACUGGAAGCGGGGAUUCUGGGCUCUGGGGCUAGGACCCCGGCCCAGGCUCUUCCCUGAUAGCCCUGGUGACUCAACGCGUGGGUCUUUUGUCCUUCACGGAUAGGAACCGGCGUGUUUGGGCUUCUUAGUUUCCUGUGGCUGCCGAAAUUCAUUCCAUCACAAUUCUGGAGGCCAGAAGUUCAAAAUCAACAUGUGGGCAGAGCCACGCACCCUCCAUGGGUUCUAGCGGAAGAUCCUUCCCUGCCUCGUCCAUCUCUUCCAGCUCCUGGUGGCCCUUGGCUUGUGGCUGUGCCACUCCAGUCUCCGUCUUCACGUCCGUCCCCCUCGUGCCCGUGACUCUGGGUCCCAAUUUCCCCUCCUGUCAGGUGUCUCUGUGACAGGACCCCUGUCACACAGGGAUUAGGCCCACCUUGCUCAAGUAUGACCUCAUCUUAACUUGAUGACUUCUGCACAGACUCUAUUUUCAAAUGAGAUCACGGCAGGUGCCAGCGCUUAGGACCUGGACAUACCAUCUUGGGGGCACAAUUCAACCCAUAAUACCCUCCUUCUUAAAAAGAAAGUGAAAGUGGAGGCCGACCUUGAAACGCCAAGGCCUUCCUCCUGCGGGGGCGGGGUGGGAGAGGGGCCUGGCCACCCGCUGAGCCCCGCUCUCAGGCAGCAUCUCUGGUGGUAGGAGGGGCCCUGGGGGGCAGCACAGGCAACAAAACCCAGGAUGCCCUAGAGGCCCGUCACUGCCCAGGGGGCUCUGAGGUCCGGCUGCAGCAUCAGGGUCUGACCCGCUCGGACAUUUACCGCCUCUGUGAUCUGGACUGAAGGCUUCAACCUUUAGUUCUCCCUCUGUGAAGUGCGCUGACAGAGAGGCCUUGGUGAGGUCACCGGGACAGCUUGCCCGUGCCCAGCGAGGGAAGGAGGAAGAUGGGGCCGGCCACUCCGCUCAGCUGCAGGACGACACCCUUAUGUACUUCCCAGCUAACCUGAGACCUCAGUUUCCCCAUCUGCACCCCUGUGAGGACAAAAUCUCUGCUUUGCUCCCCACCUUACCCACGCAUGAGGCCUCACCCUUUGACACAGCAAGAUGAGCCCCAGGAACGGGAGGUGGGAGAAGGCAGCCUAGCCAGCCUCUACAUCCAGAGGCCCACACCCCCAGCCUUGCGUCUGGGGAACGUCCCAGAGUCCAACCAUCUCCCAUCUGAGGGGCUUGGGGUCCUGCAGCUGCAGACGACUGCACCCUCAGGGCCGACACCCACCCUGGACGGGCAGACAUGCACCCCUGCUUACGCCAACUGCUCUGUCUGGGUGCCAGGCAGGGACAAUUCAGCCCUAUCACGGGAGCACUGCCGGGGGCUCCCACCCACCUCUGGUCCUCCGGCCACGUGUGCCUCAGUUUCCUGACCCAUAAAGCAGGGAGGCUGCGAUGACAACCUCAGGGGGGAACAUCCCCAGGGGCCUGGGCACAGUGGCGUUCAGGACAUAAACCACUGUGGCCAAAGCCUCUGGGACAGGCCUCUGAGCAUAUGCAAUCAGGAGAGUGGGGAGAAGCCAGUCGCUGGGUCCAGGAAGCAGAAGGGAGGGUGCUGAGGGCACCUGCUGUGGGUGCUUCCUUGGGGUAGAAACGAGACCAGAAGCCCCUAGGGAUGAGAGCCUGGCCACGGCAGGGACCCUGGAAUACAGAUGGAUCCCACAUGCAGAGCGCGUCCCCGGGAGACCCCAGACCUGGACGGUCAGCAAGGCCUGGGCUCCUGCUCCCGGAAACUGCCCGGUGUGGGGGCCAGAGGGUGACCCCACAGCACUGUGGCCCAGAACACGCGAAGGCAAGCUUCACCCGACUCGGACCACUGCUACCGACCGUGGCCAGCCCACAUCACUGGAGCCCGGGCUCUUUCCCCCGACUGGGGGCAUUGCCGGGGUGUGUGCUGGGGUGCGCCCCCGUCCCCCACAGGACCUGGCCGUCCACUCCACUCACCAAGGGCAGCUCCAGCCACCCCCUGCAAGCUCUGCUGGACCCUCCCGCUCCCUCACCCAUUGCUGUAACCUUCCCGCCAUCCUUGGUGCCAACCCUACACCUGGGAGCCACAAACGCCUCUUGGAUCCCAAGCCUCCAGGCAGGGUGGUUCUGAGCGGGGUAGCAUCUCCCAAGCCCUGGCCAGCCCCGAACCCCCUGCACCACCCCAGCAGGGCCCGGGGAGCUGUGGUGCUCUGAAUUCUGAGUGGCCGAUGGCGCAUCAUGCCGGUGAGAGGUAAUAAUCACUGCCUGACUCAGACACGCAGACUGCUGGGCUGUCAUGCCUAUUUCAGGAAAAUUAAUUAUACCCCAUGCCGAGAGGGAACUCGCCCAUUUAACGUCUUCAACGCACCUGCCCAGAAUGCCAUGGCACAGCCUGCCUGCACCCCUGGGCAUGGGAAAGGGUGGGCAGAGCCCCCAGUUUCUCCAGGUGUCAGGCGGGCUUGCAGGGUGGUGGCCAGCAGGGCUCCAGGCCCUUCUAGCCAGGCCCGACCCCGUCACCACUGAUACUGGAAACUGCAACCUUUGCCCAGGGAGUCCCCUUUGAAAGCCAAGCCUUUGAUCCAGCUGAGUGCCAGAAAAGGCCUUGGGCCGGCCCUGGGGCUGGCCCGAGGACCUGGCUCAGGGACCUGGCUGGCCCUACUGUGGCAUUAGAAAGCUCCGCACCAGUAAGCCGACCGUUGCCCACAUGGGAAGGCUGCCCUAUGCCCUCUGGACAGCUGGCCCUGCUGGCAAGCCCGUUUCCUUCUCCUACUUGCUCUAUGGGGCCUGCUAAGAUGGACAGCAGGCACGUCCAGGACCAGGGGCUGGGAGCUGGGCUUAGCUGCCCUGGGCUGAAAUUCAGCCCAGGCCUCUGGGCCCCGAGCUUUACCUUUCCCUGGCAAGAGUUGAUGUACACGUUGGCGUAACCAGGCUGCACACAUCCCAGGACAAGCUUCCCAACUGUGACUAGCCAUGGCUCACGUUUGCCUGGGUUCCCCCACCAGGCUCGCCCCAGGCCUGCCCUUGCUAUGUCCUCAGACACCCGGGGGCAGGCACAGCUGUCACCCUCCUGGCAGCUGGAAAAGAAGGGCUUGAGCAGUUCUACAGCUCAGCGAGGCUGCAGGGCUUUGCAGGGAAGAGCCGCCAGGUGCCAGACGUCACGCGUGGCAAGGCAAAUCCUACAGCCGGAACUGGCUGGCUCCGGUGCAGGCUUGGGACUUGUAGGCACACAGAUCCACCCCGUCCUAGAGAAGCUGUCAUUGCCACAUCUACCAAUUGAGGCUGUUGCAUUUGUUAGUAGUUUUCAAAUGUGUUUUGUCAUUGUUAUCAUAAAAAUAAAUUUUAUAAGAACACCA
Homo sapiens (human) is the source of this 3973-nucleotide long non-coding RNA. RefSeq lists it as uncharacterized. The transcript is spliced from 2 exons. The record is from RefSeq and is a predicted model, not a curated record. Lineage: Eukaryota; Metazoa; Chordata; Mammalia; Primates; Hominidae.